RNAcentral lists this ribosomal RNA (244 nucleotides) under uncultured Actinomycetales bacterium. RNAcentral's name for it is "partial 16S ribosomal RNA". It matches the Rfam family "Bacterial small subunit ribosomal RNA", at positions 89 to 334 of the family's 1533-position model. The record is from RNAcentral. Lineage: Bacteria; Bacillati; Actinomycetota; Actinomycetes; Actinomycetales.
CGACGAGUGGCGAACGGGUGAGUAACACGUGAGUAACCUGCCCCCGACCUUGGAAUAAGCGCUCGAAAGGGCGUCUAAUACCGAAUAGUUCCUCAGUGGGCAUCCACUGAGGCGAAAAGCUCCGGCGGUUGGGGAUGGACUCGCGUCCUAUCAGCUUGUUGGUGAGGUAACGGCUCACCAAGGCUUCGACGGGUAGCCGGCCUGAGAGGGUGUACGGCCACAUUGGGACUGAGAUACGGCCCAG